This 491-nucleotide ribosomal RNA is filed under the name uncultured bacterium. RNAcentral describes it as "partial 16S ribosomal RNA". It matches the Rfam family "Bacterial small subunit ribosomal RNA", at positions 29 to 507 of the family's 1533-position model. The record is from RNAcentral.
AGUGAACGCUGGCGGUAGGCCUAACACAUGCAAGUCGAACGGCAGCACAGUAAGAGCUUGCUCUUACGGGUGGCGAGUGGCGGACGGGUGAGGAAUACAUCGGAAUCUACUUUUUCGUGGGGGAUAACGUAGGGAAACUUACGCUAAUACCGCAUACGACCUACGGGUGAAAGCAGGGGAUCUUCGGACCUUGCGCGAUUGAAUGAGCCGAUGUCGGAUUAGCUAGUUGGCGGGGUAAGGCCCACCAAGGCGACGAUCCGUAGCUGGUCUGAGAGGAUGAUCAGCCACACUGGAACUGAGACACGGUCCAGACUCCUACGGGAGGCAGCAGUGGGGAAUAUUGGACAAUGGGCGCAAGCCUGAUCCAGCCAUACCGCGUGGGUGAAGAAGGCCCUCGGGUUGUAAAGCCCUUUUGUUGGGAAAGAAAAGCAGCAGGUUAAUACCCCGCUGUUCUGACGGUACCCAAAGAAUAAGCACCGGCUAACUUCGUG